Molecule: transfer RNA, 74 nt
Filed under: Ruthenibacterium sp.
Lineage: Bacteria; Bacillati; Bacillota; Clostridia; Eubacteriales; Oscillospiraceae
Also listed under: 1 other name
Description: tRNA-Gly
Rfam family: tRNA
About the family: Transfer RNA (tRNA) molecules are approximately 80 nucleotides in length. Their secondary structure includes four short double-helical elements and three loops (D, anti-codon, and T loops).
Source: RNAcentral
GCAGAUGUAGUUCAAUGGUAGAACCCCAGCCUUCCAAGCUGGUCACGCGGGUUCGAUUCCCGUCAUCUGCUCCA